Molecule: long non-coding RNA, 2762 nt
Filed under: Homo sapiens (human)
Lineage: Eukaryota; Metazoa; Chordata; Mammalia; Primates; Hominidae
Description: HSALNT0218327
Source: RNAcentral
UAAACUUAUGUGCAGUUAUCUUUAAAAAACUAAUUUUAUCAUCACUUUAAAAAGCUCCUGACAAAACCACACAUAAACAAUCACAAACUAUUUUAAUUAAAAAAAUUAGAAAGAGUAUUAAUAACUUUCUGUUGAUUUGCUUUGCUGCUUAUUAACUUAGUAAAUUAAAAAAAUGGAAACUAGCCAGUACACAGCAGCUAUGUCUUUUUGUGUUUUAUGACCAAUUACAGUCUAUAAAAUACUAUGGUAUACAUAUUUUUUAUAGUUGUACUGAGAUUUUAUUGAAGUUUGAUUUUAGGAGGUACUAUUAAGUCAAUGAUUUGGCCCAGAGAAAAUUACAGUAUCUACAUGUUUUAAAUAUAGCAUUGAAAAAUGGACUGAGUAUACUGGAUAUAUGAUACGCAGUACUUACUUUGUUAUAGUUGGUGCUAUUACUGAAUCAAUCAAGUAGAUGAAAAAUUAGAAGCAUACGGUGUUCAGGGAGGGAUAAUUCUUUUUUUUUGAGUAGGAAUUUUGCUCUUGUUGCCCAGGCUGGAGUGCAAUGGCGCUAUCUCAGCUUACUGCAACCUCUGCCUCCUGGGUUCAAGCGAUUCACCUGCCUCAGCCUCCCGAGUAGCUGGGAUUACAGGCAUGUGCCACUACGCCUGGCUAAUUUUGUAUUUUUUAGUAAAGACAAGGUUUCUCCAUGUUGGUCAGGCUGGUCUUGAACUCCCAACCUCAGGUGAUUCACCUGCCUCGGCCUCCCAAAAUGCUGGGAUUACAGGCGUGAGCCACUGCGCCUGGCCUGAAUUUUUAUUCUAUAAUUCUGUUAUAGAAUAAAAAAGGGGGGAGGUAUAGUGUGUUGCAAAGUUUUAUGACAAUUUUUGUAGCUAGAAGUAUUCGAAAUUAAAGGAAAAAGAAAAACACAGAAGUAAAUACCUACCAACAUAUGUCCAGUAAUACUAUUUCCAUCUAUGGUAAUCCAGAAAUAAAAGUCUAUAUUGAAAGAUAAGAAGUAGUGUGUCCAAAUACAUCACUGUAGUUGGGUCAUUUUAUCCUGAUUUAAUUUUUUCUAUUUAAAUAAACAAAGGCAACUGCAUUACCAUCUUGUUCUUAAAUAAGAAGAUAACUGGGAAUGACUGAUGACACUGUUAACUUAAACCUUAUUUUUUCAGAGUCCUUGACUAACUUAAGUAACUAAGUAAGCAUUUAAAUAUGACUUCUAUUAUCAGCAUUCAGUAGCUAAUAAUCAUUACUCCAAUUAGUUAUCCAUUAAUAUUAAUUGUGUGAACAACUUUGCAAAAUAUAGAAAUGUUCUAAGUUUGAGAAAACUACUGUUUCAAAGGUCAGAAACCUAGCUUUGAACCCACACAACCAUGGUUAAGGUUAGGACAUGAUGUGUACCGAGUAAAUUUAGAGGCAUUAGGAUUUAAUUCCUCAGUAGCCCUUAGAGUUCAAUGUUGGUAUUUGUGAUUCCCCCAAAUGGACAGAGAUACUUACAACCAAUUCUCACAUCUCAAGAUUCAUGUAAAUAGUGCCAAUUGCCUUUGAAAUCACUGCCAAAUAUUAAUUUUAAAAACCAUCUAAUGAUACUUACUUCCUAACUUUUAACCAUUAUUCUCAUCACGAUCACUCAUUACAAAACUCAUCCACUUUGUCCCAAGUAGAAGCAAAUUAUCUGAUAACCCUCUAUCACCUCAAUAAACUACCUGCCCCUACACUUGCAAAGUUAGCAAAGUCAAGUAUAGAAAACCUAAGAUAGAAGGACUAAGAAGGCAUAGAGACCUUGGGUAGUCCGUCAGUUCUGUAUACUCCUUAGCAGCACAGCAACAAAUCAGCAAUGACAGACAGUAAUUGUCCUAAUCUAGGUCAAUACAACAGCCAAAACUUUGUAAACACUCUCUUUGGCUCUUCCUGGAGAUCAACACUGUUCUAAUUAAAAUGCUGUAGCAUGAAAGGGCUUAAUAGCAACACAAGUGUUCAAAAAUACUUAUUUAUCUAAUAUCAUUUAUCCAAGAAUCUUAAAAAUCACUUAAUACUAAUCAAUUCAAUAACUGAGAGGGGUAGGUACUAAGGAAACUGCAAAGGCCAAGAACAGAAAUUAGGAGUAUAUGCUACUCAAUAAUCUUUGUCAGCUAAAAACUCUGCUGACUUAUAUAGCUCUGAGUAUGUAAGAUAAAGUAUUAUCUACAUGCCUUCAAAAAACCUAAAUUUAGGUAUAAAUGUUACCAAGAUAAUACCUGUUCUUACUAUAUGUCAUUUGUACUUAAUUUUUCUGAAGUCUGAUUUAUUGAAGUUUGAUUUUUGAAGAUACUGUUUAGUCAAUGAUCUGACCCAGAGAAAAAUGUGAAAAAUAUCUGAUGUAAUAUUACUUAAUACUUUGAAACUAAACAUUACACAGUAUUUUAGAUAUCUUAUUUUGAAUCUAUUAUUUUAAAUGUUAGAUUAAAAGUCUACAGUAUCACAUAUACCCAUUGAGUAAUCUUUCCAUUUGAGGCGAAAGGUUUAUGCUAAGCUAUACAUACCAUCUUCCUGAAUUUCUGAGAUGGAUACCUGACGGAAGGUGCAAUCGACAGCUAUAAAAACAUUUUGUGUGUAUGUAAAGUUAAUGAACCUACAAAAGCAUCAAACUCCUGUCCACGGCCUCUUUAGCACCAUACUCCAACCAAGUUAACUGGUUCAAACUGCUACAUAAGACAGUGAUAACUACAGGAAUAAGCACAAAGAAAGGUUAUAUUUUAUCAUGUUAAAAGUUUCACAGAGAUAACAGGUUUACAAUUCAA